This 81-nucleotide small RNA is filed under the name Flavobacterium succinicans. RNAcentral's name for it is "Flavo-1 RNA". It matches the Rfam family "Flavo-1 RNA". The record is from RNAcentral. Lineage: Bacteria; Pseudomonadati; Bacteroidota; Flavobacteriia; Flavobacteriales; Flavobacteriaceae.
AGUGAACUUCGUUUGCAGUGAAAAUCCUUUUUGAGGCUUUUUUUGCCGCAAAAAGAUUGUAACGUAAAAGCCCGACCCAUG